AUGAACGCUGGCGGCGUGCCUAACACAUGCAAGUCGAGCGGAGAAUUGUUGCUUGCAACAAUUCUUAGCGGCGGACGGGUGAGUAACACGUGGGUAACCUGCCCUAAACAAAGGGAUAACAAUGAGAAAUCAUUGCUAAUACCGUAUAAGCUUACACUAUCGCAUGAUAGAGUAAGAAAAGAUUUAUCGGUUUAGGGGGGGCCCGCGUCUGAUUAGCUAGUUGGAGAGGUAACGGCUCACCAAGGCGACGAUCAGUAGCCGACCUGAGAGGGUGAUCGGCCACAUUGGGACUGAGACACGGCCCAAACUCCUACGGGAGGCAGCAGUGGGGAAUAUUGCACAAUGGAGGAAACUCUGAUGCAGCAACGCCGCGUGAAGGAAGAAGGUUUUCGGAUCGUAAACUUCUAUCUACAGGGAAGAAAAAAAUGACGGUACCUGAGUAAGAAGCCCCGGCUAACUACGUG
Molecule: ribosomal RNA, 464 nt
Filed under: uncultured bacterium
Lineage: Bacteria
Description: partial 16S ribosomal RNA
Rfam family: Bacterial small subunit ribosomal RNA
Source: RNAcentral